GAAAUCCCGUCUGGGAAGGUCUAGCCAACCACCCAGUAUCCAGCCUUGGGACUGAAGCGGUAACGCCAGGUCUAAGCGUAGGCAGGAAAGGUAGUAGGCCGAAAGCACAAGCUGAAGAUGUAGAAUCCCGAAAUCAUCAAUGGUCAAGGUCGAUGCAUGGGACGAGCAGAAGACAACACCGCAGUUAGCGAUACAGGCGAGCUAAUCGCGGCAGCCCGGGAUCGUAGGUCU
Sporomusa sphaeroides DSM 2875 is the source of this 231-nucleotide non-coding RNA. Lineage: Bacteria; Bacillati; Bacillota; Negativicutes; Selenomonadales; Sporomusaceae. The record is from Rfam.